Molecule: long non-coding RNA, 2037 nt
Organism: Clupea harengus (Atlantic herring)
Lineage: Eukaryota; Metazoa; Chordata; Actinopteri; Clupeiformes; Clupeidae
Source: Ensembl
CACACACACACACACGCUCACACACACUUCCAUAUCCCAGAAGAUUCCCUCCAUAUGAUCAGAAGCAUAUAUAGACUUAAUUCAUCUCAGUCCCUGUUGCUGCAAAAUGUGGAUUAAGCUAACCAAGUGAAUGUCAUGAUACUAUAUUUUUUAUUUGUGAUAUUUAUUUGAAGAUGAUUUAUUUGAAGAGGACAAAAGUGAGGAGAACACUGGAUUAUGGCAUUGGCCGAGUGGGAGAUUUCGUAUGGAUUCACAAUGAUCCAGAAACCUGAGUGGAAUCUCUGUGGGUCGUAUUUGGAUCUCAAGGACAGAAAAUGAUCCCAACAGUGAAAACUCUAUCUUGUAUGUGCUCGAGGACUCCUGUUGUGAGAUAAAAAAAAAAAGAUAUUUUUGAUUUUAAAACAAAUACCACAUUAUAAAAAAAAAGAAAAAAAAGAAACAACAUACUGGAUAAGAGAAAACAAAACUGAACGCAUUCCCUCACAAAACACUCCAGGACUUCAUGGAAGUGACAGGAUUGAUCUUCAAUGUGCUUGUCUGCAUUUAUCCAUAGUAUUCGCCAACUAAUUGGAAGCAAAAGACUUCUCUCCAUCCAAUGGUAGCUAUUCCCACAGACAUGAUUCCUGAACUGUGAGUGCUUUUGUCGUCUUAUCUUAAAAAAAGAAAAGAAAAAAAAGAAAACGAGAAGGGAACAUAAGGAAAACCAAUCAACCAAUCAAAACCAUUCAUCUCCAUCCUCACCUAUAGCUCAGCCAAUCGACUUGCAUCUGCCCCUUUCCCUUCAUUCCAGCCACACCCACAUAAAUGGUGCCUGUUUGUCUCCUCUGGUUGUAUUGUUAUGAUGUUGCAAUGUAUUAUAAUAAUCUAUCUCCCACUGAUCCUCUCUCAGACUGAAAGGCACUGCUUUAUCGUCGGGCUUCCUUGCAGUGUAAUUAUGCAACUGAUCCAGGAUCAUUUCAGAGCAGGAGAAGAAACUCACUAGCCGCACUUUUGGGAGUUUUGGGAUCCUUCUUCUCCUUGCUGUAGCUAGUGCAUCAUAACAUUAACUAGUACUCUGACGUUUUUCCCAGAGCGAUCUGGCUCUGUUUUUGUUGUGCUUUUUUUUUUUUUUUGGAGGGGUGGGGAACUUUUGUUUAGAUCUCUGUUGAUUUGUGUGUUGUAUAUUUGUUUAUUUAUUUUAUUUAUUUGUCCUCUCAUGCCCUCAUUUGUGUAUGUACUUUAUGUAACAUAUUUAUUUACUGUUAGCACAAAUGUUAUCUUAUACAGACAAAAAAAAAAAAUCACAUUGGAAAUUCUGACACUGGUUUGGAAGUGAAGUAGAAGAUGGGCAUCUCAUGUCUCUCAAUGUCCCAUGCUUCCCCCAGAGUUCAUCAGACAGCACUGUUCUUGUGCAUAGUUGUGUAGACUCUAUGUGUAUGUGUGUGUGUGUGUGUGUGUGUGUGUGUGUGUGUGUGUGUGUGUGUGUGCGUGCGCGCGUGCCUGUGUGUGUGCAUGUGAAACUUGCACGUGUAUGCACAUUUGAGAGGCACCAUGCGCAAGCUAGGCAGAUAUAGUGCAUGUUGUUUUGGGAAAAAGAGUUGCCGUGAAGAGUCUCAUUAUUUUCUGUAUGUCGUUGAGGGGGAAACGGUCUAGUCCAUUGCACAGCUCACCAGCACAUACCUGAAGCUGAUGAUGUUAGUCCCUACGUGCCCACCACUAGUCACUAGUCACUUUCUAUAUUUGUCCGUCCCUUUUUUUUUUCUUUUGUGCUUUUAAAGCCGCUCCAUUGCAUUUUCACUUGCCUCUCAGUCCACCCUCACCAGUUUCCUACCUGCUAUUACAUCACAUAUGGUUUGCCUUUCUAAGAAAAGACAUUGUGUCAUUGCCAUGUCGUCAUCCUCAUUGCCUGUCAUUCUUGUGAAGAUUGUAAGCUGUACUACAUCCUUGUGUCAGAAACAGAGCAAGGUUUUCCUUUUUAAUGUCGAAAGGGUGAGAACAAAGAACAAAAAUGAAAAAGAGACAUCUGUAUCAUAAUUUAGGUAUAACAGUGCACUAUUA